This 1763-nucleotide long non-coding RNA is filed under the name Mus musculus (house mouse). RNAcentral's name for it is "long non-coding RNA chr4:105185915-105187678". The record is from RNAcentral. Lineage: Eukaryota; Metazoa; Chordata; Mammalia; Rodentia; Muridae.
AUGCAAUUUAUUAUGACACACCUUGUUUACCUGGCUAAUAAGGGAGGUGCUCCUACAUGCUACACCGCCAGACUUACAGAGGAAUCUUGCUGAUGGCUUCAGAGUUCAACAACGGCUGGUCUUCCACUGGUCCCUCUCUUUUCUUGCAUUGAAACUUUAAAAACUACCUGUCUUGUGUUCUUCUCUACGUAAUCCUAAAGAGGGCAACUUAAAACCUAGGAAGGUCAUCUUGGUUCAAGGCUGAGAUGUAUACACAUGUACCAGUACCCACUCUCACGCGUGGGCUGUGGCCAGUGCUCACUAUGGAAGACAUUGUUGAAGCAGGGCUGUUUCUGUUGGUCUAGGUUCAAUAUUGUAAGAAAACCUUUAUUCUUUAAUGCAGAGAUAGGAAAGCCAGGACUCUACAGAGCUUGGCAGUUAACUUAAAUCACUAAAGAGAGCAAGUAAGCCUAAGAAAAUCCACAGCACGAGUAAGAUGAGUAUGGCAGGGGAUGCACAGCCCCAGUGCCAGUGAGAGCGAUGGUGAGUGCCAGUGGACCCUGGAGAAUACAGGCUUAAGACGACGACGAUGACACUGGGAAUCUGGAUGUGAUUUGAGACUGCCUGUUACUAAAUGGUAACACUAGUUUUAAGCAUUGGGUGGGCCAAAUAGAAUAGUCUCUGCCAAGCAGAUUUGAUGUGGACUGCCAAAGUGUGACCUUAAACUUAGCCCCUCUACCCUGAGGAGCCUAGGAGUCCACUGCUGCCCUGGCUUGCUGACCAGCACAGCUUUGCUCCUAUGGGGCUCCAGUGGUGGUUCUGCCCCAACCUUCUUCCCUCCCAGCUGCCUGUGGGCUUGCCUUUUAACUUUUGACUAUCGAACUACCUUCCAGGUGUGUCUGAUGUCCUGCCAAUCCACAGUAUUUAUUUUAGCGCCACGUGAGUGUGAUGUUUUUGUACACCUGGGCAUCGGUGCUUAGAUGGACACACACAUGCUGAGGAGAGCGUGUUUCGCCACUGGAUAAAUAAGAAGCCGUGUUUUCUCUUUUCUUUUAUUUUGGACUUGCCGACCUUUAUGCUUUGAGAAUGUAUGGCAGGGCUCCAGCUGUGGCCCUGACAUCAGGGGAGCGGGUCCUGUCAGCGGCCCAGUCUGUUUGCCCACUUCUCAGAAGUCCCUAGAAUUUUAGGGUUUUACAAGCAGGUCUUUCUUUCUCUUGGGAUCAGACUACCUUUGGCAAAUGACUGGAUAAGCCCAUGAAUGCUUCGGUUGAUUAUGGAUAGACUAUCUUGCUCUUCCUUCUAAGGGUUCCUGACACUAAAGCUUUGUGUCUGUUGGCUCCCUGGGACAUAAGGGAGUAAGAACCAUUAUUCACCAAGCCCGGCAGUGAUGAUAUACUUUAUAAAUCGCAUCUCAGCCCCCACAGUUCUGUAAACUGAGAACAAUUAUACAAAGUCCUGUUGUAUGAUGUUAAAAUAAGAUGAGGUAAAGUGACCUACCCAGGUCAGACCCAGUCCCGAGAAGUGGUAAGAGAUGAAAUCCUAUCAAUCCUAUGUGCCUGAGUUUAUGAAUGGGGUCUGGAGAUGGCUCAGCAGUUAAGACCACUGGCUAUUCUUCCCAAGGACUGUGGGGUUUUACCCCCAAUGCCCACGUGCUGGCUCAAAGCACACUGUAACUACAGAUCCUGGGGAUCCAAUGCCCUCUCUGACUGCCAUAGGUACCAGGUACACACAUUGUGUGCAGGCACACAUGCAAGCAAAACAUAUGCAUUAAAUAGACACCAAAU